UAGCUCAAUGGUAGAGCAGCGGCCUUUUAAGCCGUUGGCUGUGGGUUCGAGUCCC
RNAcentral lists this transfer RNA (55 nucleotides) under Pseudomonadales bacterium. RNAcentral describes it as "tRNA-Lys". It matches the Rfam family "tRNA", at positions 8 to 61 of the family's 71-position model. From Rfam's summary of the family: Transfer RNA (tRNA) molecules are approximately 80 nucleotides in length. The record is from RNAcentral. Lineage: Bacteria; Pseudomonadati; Pseudomonadota; Gammaproteobacteria; Pseudomonadales.